Molecule: ribosomal RNA, 1424 nt
Filed under: Lactiplantibacillus plantarum
Lineage: Bacteria; Bacillati; Bacillota; Bacilli; Lactobacillales; Lactobacillaceae
Description: bacterial SSU rRNA
Rfam family: Bacterial small subunit ribosomal RNA
Source: RNAcentral
GACGAGGUAUUCCGUGCUAUACAUGCAAGUCGAACGAACUCUGGUAUUGAUUGGUGCUUGCAUCAUGAUUUACAUUUGAGUGAGUGGCGAACUGGUGAGUAACACGUGGGAAACCUGCCCAGAAGCGGGGGAUAACACCUGGAAACAGAUGCUAAUACCGCAUAACAACUUGGACCGCAUGGUCCGAGUUUGAAAGAUGGCUUCGGCUAUCACUUUUGGAUGGUCCCGCGGCGUAUUAGCUAGAUGGUGGGGUAACGGCUCACCAUGGCAAUGAUACGUAGCCGACCUGAGAGGGUAAUCGGCCACAUUGGGACUGAGACACGGCCCAAACUCCUACGGGAGGCAGCAGUAGGGAAUCUUCCACAAUGGACGAAAGUCUGAUGGAGCAACGCCGCGUGAGUGAAGAAGGGUUUCGGCUCGUAAAACUCUGUUGUUAAAGAAGAACAUAUCUGAGAGUAACUGUUCAGGUAUUGACGGUAUUUAACCAGAAAGCCACGGCUAACUACGUGCCAGCAGCCGCGGUAAUACGUAGGUGGCAAGCGUUGUCCGGAUUUAUUGGGCGUAAAGCGAGCGCAGGCGGUUUUUUAAGUCUGAUGUGAAAGCCUUCGGCUCAACCGAAGAAGUGCAUCGGAAACUGGGAAACUUGAGUGCAGAAGAGGACAGUGGAACUCCAUGUGUAGCGGUGAAAUGCGUAGAUAUAUGGAAGAACACCAGUGGCGAAGGCGGCUGUCUGGUCUGUAACUGACGCUGAGGCUCGAAAGUAUGGGUAGCAAACAGGAUUAGAUACCCUGGUAGUCCAUACCGUAAACGAUGAAUGCUAAGUGUUGGAGGGUUUCCGCCCUUCAGUGCUGCAGCUAACGCAUUAAGCAUUCCGCCUGGGGAGUACGGGCCGCAAGGCUGAAACUCAAAGGAAUUGACGGGGGCCCGCACAAGCGGUGGAGCAUGUGGUUUAAUUCGAAGCUACGCGAAGAACCUUACCAGGUCUUGACAUACUAUGCAAAUCUAAGAGAUUAGACGUUCCCUUCGGGGACAUGGAUACAGGUGGUGCAUGGUUGUCGUCAGCUCGUGUCGUGAGAUGUUGGGUUAAGUCCCGCAACGAGCGCAACCCUUAUUAUCAGUUGCCAGCAUUAAGUUGGGCACUCUGGUGAGACUGCCGGUGACAAACCGGAGGAAGGUGGGGAUGACGUCAAAUCAUCAUGCCCCUUAUGACCUGGGCUACACACGUGCUACAAUGGAUGGUACAACGAGUUGCGAACUCGCGAGAGUAAGCUAAUCUCUUAAAGCCAUUCUCAGUUCGGAUUGUAGGCUGCAACUCGCCUACAUGAAGUCGGAAUCGCUAGUAAUCGCGGAUCAGCAUGCCGCGGUGAAUACGUUCCCGGGCCUUGUACACACCGCCCGUCACACCAUGAGAGUUUGUAACACCC